UGAACGCUAGCGGCAGGCUUAAUACAUGCAAGUCGAACGGUAACAGCAACUUCGGUUGGCUGACGAGUGGCGCACGGGUGAGUAACGCGUACAAAAUCUACCUUUAACUGGGGGAAAGUCGCUGGAAACGGCGAAUAAUCCCGCAUAAGACCACGGCAUCGCAUGGUGCAGAGGUUAAAGGCUUCGGUCGGUUAGAGAUGAUUGUGCGUUCCAUUAGCUAGAUGGUAAGGUAACGGCUUACCAUGGCGACGAUGGUUAGGGGGCGUGAGAGCGUGAUCCCCCACACGGGUACUGAGACACGGACCCGACUCCUACGGGAGGCAGCAGUAAGGAAUAUUGGUCAAUGGAGGGAACUCUGAACCAGCCAUGCCGCGUGAGUGAUGAAUGCCCUUUGGGUUGUAAAGCUCUUUUGGAUAGGAAGAAUGGUCGGGAUUUAUCCCGGACGCGACGGUACUAUCAGAAUAAGCACCGGCUAACUCC
Molecule: ribosomal RNA, 480 nt
Filed under: uncultured bacterium
Lineage: Bacteria
Description: bacterial SSU rRNA
Rfam family: Bacterial small subunit ribosomal RNA
Source: RNAcentral